UACGUAGGGGGCAAGCGUUGUCCGGAAUUAUUGGGCGUAAAGAGCGCGUAGGCGGUCCGGUAAGUCAGCUGUGAAAGUCAAGGGCUCAACCCUUGAAAGCCGGUUGAUACUGUCGGGCUAGAGUCCGGAAGAGGCGAGUGGAAUUCCCGGUGUAGCGGUGAAAUGCGUAGAUAUCGGGAGGAACAUCAGUGGCGAAGGCGGCUGCCUGGCCCAAUACUGACACUCAGGUGCGACAGCGUGGGGAGCAAACAGG
RNAcentral lists this ribosomal RNA (253 nucleotides) under uncultured bacterium. Its description in RNAcentral is "partial 16S ribosomal RNA". It matches the Rfam family "Bacterial small subunit ribosomal RNA", at positions 524 to 776 of the family's 1533-position model. The record is from RNAcentral.